GUCUAUGGCCAUGCCACCCUGAACAAGCCCGAUCCCAUCUGAUCUCGGAAGCUAAGCAGGAUCGGGCCUGGUUAGUACUUGAUGGGAGACCACCUAGGAAGACCAAGUGCUGUAGGCA
This 118-nucleotide ribosomal RNA is filed under the name Pteropus alecto (black flying fox). RNAcentral also lists the same sequence under 1 other name. The record is from RNAcentral. Lineage: Eukaryota; Metazoa; Chordata; Mammalia; Chiroptera; Pteropodidae.